RNAcentral lists this ribosomal RNA (295 nucleotides) under uncultured fungus. Its description in RNAcentral is "partial 18S ribosomal RNA". It matches the Rfam family "Eukaryotic small subunit ribosomal RNA", at positions 1334 to 1647 of the family's 1831-position model. Lineage: Eukaryota; Fungi. The record is from RNAcentral.
AACGAGACCUUAACCUGCUAAAUAGUCAGUCCGGCUUUUGCUGGUCGCCGACUUUCUUAGAGGGACUGUCAGUGUCUAACUGACGGAAGUUUGAGGCAAUAACAGGUCUGUGAUGCCCUUAGAUGUUUUGGGCCGCACGCGCGCUACACUGACAGAGCCAGCGAGUUUUUUUCCUUGGCCGGAAGGUCUGGGUAAUCUUGUGAAACUCUGUCGUGCUGGGGAUAGAGCAUUGCAAUUAUUGCUCUUCAACGAGGAAUACCUAGUAAGCGCGAAGUCAUCAGCUUGCGGUUGAUUA